This 253-nucleotide ribosomal RNA is filed under the name uncultured bacterium. RNAcentral describes it as "partial 16S ribosomal RNA". It matches the Rfam family "Bacterial small subunit ribosomal RNA", at positions 524 to 776 of the family's 1533-position model. The record is from RNAcentral.
UACGAAGGGUGCAAGCGUUAAUCGGAAUUACUGGGCGUAAAGGGAGCGUAGGCGGCUUUUUAAGUCGGAUGUGAAAGCCCCGGGCUCAACCUGGGAACCGCGCUUGAGACUGGCACGCUAGAGUUCGGGAGAGGAUGGUGGAAUUCCCAGUGUAGAGGUGAAAUUCGUAGAUAUUGGGAGGAACACCGGUGGCGAAGGCGGCCCCCUGGACCGGUACUGACGCUGAGGCGCGAAAGCGUGGGUAGCAAACGGG